UACGUAGGGUGCGAGCGUUGUCCGGAAUUAUUGGGCGUAAAGAGCUCGUAGGCGGUCUGUCGCGUCGGUCGUGAAAACUUGGGGCUUAACCCUGAGCUUGCGGUCGAUACGGGCAUGACUGGAGUUCGGCAGGGGAGACUGGAAUUCCUGGUGUAGCGGUGAAAUGCGCAGAUAUCAGGAGGAACACCAGCGGCGAAGGCGGCGCUCUGGGCCGGAACUGACGCUGAGGAGCGAAAGCGUGGGUAGCAGACAGG
Molecule: ribosomal RNA, 254 nt
Filed under: uncultured bacterium
Lineage: Bacteria
Description: partial 16S ribosomal RNA
Rfam family: Bacterial small subunit ribosomal RNA
Source: RNAcentral